This 165-nucleotide unclassified non-coding RNA is filed under the name uncultured Basidiomycota. RNAcentral describes it as "sequence contains ITS1". The record is from RNAcentral. Lineage: Eukaryota; Fungi; Basidiomycota.
AAGAUUUGACCUUCGGGUCUAUCUCUCUUCAGCUGUGCGCUUAGGCUGCACGCUGUUGAACCUCACACACCUGUGCACAUUUCGGUUGUGGCUGGUUAAUUCUGGUCGCUUCCGCUUUUACAUUUAACUACAAAAGUCUAGAAUGUCAAUUACAAUAAAAAGUAA